This 497-nucleotide ribosomal RNA is filed under the name uncultured bacterium. RNAcentral's name for it is "partial 16S ribosomal RNA". It matches the Rfam family "Bacterial small subunit ribosomal RNA", at positions 28 to 507 of the family's 1533-position model. The record is from RNAcentral.
GACGAACGCUGGCGGCGUGCCUAAUACAUGCAAGUAGAACGCUGAAGAGAGGAGCUUACUCUUCUUGGAUGAGUUGCGAACGGGUGAGUAACGCGUAGGUAACCUGCCUUGUAGCGGGGGAUAACUAUUGGAAACGAUAGCUAAUACCGCAUAACAAUGGAUGACACAUGUCCUUUAUUUGAAAGGGGCAAUUGCUCCACUACAAGAUGGACCUGCGUUGUAUUAGCUAGUAGGUGAGGUAAUGGCUCACCUAGGCGACGAUACAUAGCCGACCUGAGAGGGUGAUCGGCCACACUGGGACUGAGACACGGCCCAGACUCCUACGGGAGGCAGCAGUAGGGAAUCUUCGGCAAUAGGGGCAACCCUGACCGAGCAACGCCGCGUGAGUGAAGAAGGUUUUCGGAUCGUAAAGCUCUGUUGUAAGUCAAGAACGGGUGUGAGAGUGGAAAGUUCACACUGUGACGGUAGCUUACCAGAAAGGGACGGCUAACUACGUG